RNAcentral lists this ribosomal RNA (1550 nucleotides) under Klebsiella pneumoniae subsp. pneumoniae. RNAcentral's name for it is "bacterial SSU rRNA". It matches the Rfam family "Bacterial small subunit ribosomal RNA". The record is from RNAcentral. Lineage: Bacteria; Pseudomonadati; Pseudomonadota; Gammaproteobacteria; Enterobacterales; Enterobacteriaceae.
AAAUUGAAGAGUUUGAUCAUGGCUCAGAUUGAACGCUGGCGGCAGGCCUAACACAUGCAAGUCGAGCGGUAGCACAGAGAGCUUGCUCUCGGGUGACGAGCGGCGGACGGGUGAGUAAUGUCUGGGAAACUGCCUGAUGGAGGGGGAUAACUACUGGAAACGGUAGCUAAUACCGCAUAAUGUCGCAAGACCAAAGUGGGGGACCUUCGGGCCUCAUGCCAUCAGAUGUGCCCAGAUGGGAUUAGCUAGUAGGUGGGGUAACGGCUCACCUAGGCGACGAUCCCUAGCUGGUCUGAGAGGAUGACCAGCCACACUGGAACUGAGACACGGUCCAGACUCCUACGGGAGGCAGCAGUGGGGAAUAUUGCACAAUGGGCGCAAGCCUGAUGCAGCCAUGCCGCGUGUGUGAAGAAGGCCUUCGGGUUGUAAAGCACUUUCAGCGGGGAGGAAGGCGGUGAGGUUAAUAACCUCACCGAUUGACGUUACCCGCAGAAGAAGCACCGGCUAACUCCGUGCCAGCAGCCGCGGUAAUACGGAGGGUGCAAGCGUUAAUCGGAAUUACUGGGCGUAAAGCGCACGCAGGCGGUCUGUCAAGUCGGAUGUGAAAUCCCCGGGCUCAACCUGGGAACUGCAUUCGAAACUGGCAGGCUAGAGUCUUGUAGAGGGGGGUAGAAUUCCAGGUGUAGCGGUGAAAUGCGUAGAGAUCUGGAGGAAUACCGGUGGCGAAGGCGGCCCCCUGGACAAAGACUGACGCUCAGGUGCGAAAGCGUGGGGAGCAAACAGGAUUAGAUACCCUGGUAGUCCACGCCGUAAACGAUGUCGAUUUGGAGGUUGUGCCCUUGAGGCGUGGCUUCCGGAGCUAACGCGUUAAAUCGACCGCCUGGGGAGUACGGCCGCAAGGUUAAAACUCAAAUGAAUUGACGGGGGCCCGCACAAGCGGUGGAGCAUGUGGUUUAAUUCGAUGCAACGCGAAGAACCUUACCUGGUCUUGACAUCCACAGAACUUAGCAGAGAUGCUUUGGUGCCUUCGGGAACUGUGAGACAGGUGCUGCAUGGCUGUCGUCAGCUCGUGUUGUGAAAUGUUGGGUUAAGUCCCGCAACGAGCGCAACCCUUAUCCUUUGUUGCCAGCGGUUAGGCCGGGAACUCAAAGGAGACUGCCAGUGAUAAACUGGAGGAAGGUGGGGAUGACGUCAAGUCAUCAUGGCCCUUACGACCAGGGCUACACACGUGCUACAAUGGCAUAUACAAAGAGAAGCGACCUCGCGAGAGCAAGCGGACCUCAUAAAGUAUGUCGUAGUCCGGAUUGGAGUCUGCAACUCGACUCCAUGAAGUCGGAAUCGCUAGUAAUCGUAGAUCAGAAUGCUACGGUGAAUACGUUCCCGGGCCUUGUACACACCGCCCGUCACACCAUGGGAGUGGGUUGCAAAAGAAGUAGGUAGCUUAACCUUCGGGAGGGCGCUUACCACUUUGUGAUUCAUGACUGGGGUGAAGUCGUAACAAGGUAACCGUAGGGGAACCUGCGGUUGGAUCACCUCCUUACCUUAAAGAA